This 563-nucleotide ribosomal RNA is filed under the name uncultured bacterium. RNAcentral describes it as "bacterial SSU rRNA". It matches the Rfam family "Bacterial small subunit ribosomal RNA", at positions 338 to 916 of the family's 1533-position model. The record is from RNAcentral.
CCUACGGGAGGCAGCAGUGGGGAAUAUUGGACAAUGGGCGAAAGCCUGAUCCAGCAAUGCCGCGUGAGUGAUGAAGGCCUUAGGGUUGUAAAGCUCUUUUACCCGGGAUGAUAAUGACAGUACCGGGAGAAUAAGCUCCGGCUAACUCCGUGCCAGCAGCCGCGGUAAUACGGAGGGAGCUAGCGUUGUUCGGAAUUACUGGGCGUAAAGCGUACGUAGGCGGUUAUUCAAGUCAGAGGUGAAAGCCUGGGGCUCAACUCCAGAACUGCCUUUGAAACUAGAUAGCUAGAAUCAUGGAGAGGUCAGUGGAAUUCCGAGUGUAGAGGUGAAAUUCGUAGAUAUUCGGAAGAACACCAGUGGCGAAGGCGACUGACUGGACAUGUAUUGACGCUGAGGUACGAAAGCGUGGGGAGCAAACAGGAUUAGAUACCCUGGUAGUCCACGCCGUAAACGAUGAUAACUAGCUGUUCGGACCUUUAAGGUUUGAGUGGCGCAGCUAACGCAUUAAGUUAUCCGCCUGGGGAGUACGGUCGCAAGAUUAAAAACUCAAAAGGAAUUGACGG